UACGAAGGGGGCGAGCGUUGUUCGGAAUUACUGGGCGUAAAGGGCGCGUAGGCGGCCGAUCAAGUUAGAUGUGAAAGUCCUGGGCUUAACCUGGGGACUGCAUUUGAUACUGAUUGGCUUGAAUUCGGGAGAGGAUAGCGGAAUUCCCAGUGUAGAGGUGAAAUUCGUAGAUAUUGGGAAGAACACCGGUGGCGAAGGCGGCUAUCUGGACCGACAUUGACGCUGAGGCGCGAAAGCGUGGGGAUCAAACAGG
Molecule: ribosomal RNA, 253 nt
Filed under: uncultured bacterium
Lineage: Bacteria
Description: partial 16S ribosomal RNA
Rfam family: Bacterial small subunit ribosomal RNA
Source: RNAcentral